UACGUAGGGCGCAAGCGUUGUCCGGAAUUAUUGGGCGUAAAGAGCUCGUAGGCGGCUUGUCACGUCGGGUGUGAAAGCCCGGGGCUUAACCCCGGGUCUGCAUUCGAUACGGGCUAGCUAGAGUGUGGUAGGGGAGAUCGGAAUUCCUGGUGUAGCGGUGAAAUGCGCAGAUAUCAGGAGGAACACCGGUGGCGAAGGCGGCUCUCUGGGACGGUACUGACGCUGAGACGCGAAAGCGUGGGGAGCGAACAGG
Molecule: ribosomal RNA, 253 nt
Filed under: uncultured bacterium
Lineage: Bacteria
Description: partial 16S ribosomal RNA
Rfam family: Bacterial small subunit ribosomal RNA
Source: RNAcentral